RNAcentral lists this ribosomal RNA (273 nucleotides) under uncultured bacterium. RNAcentral's name for it is "partial 16S ribosomal RNA". It matches the Rfam family "Bacterial small subunit ribosomal RNA", at positions 524 to 796 of the family's 1533-position model. The record is from RNAcentral.
UACGGAGGGUGCAAGCGUUACUCGGAAUCACUGGGCGUAAAGGACGCGUAGGCGGGUUGGUAAGUCAGGUGUGAAAUCCUACAGCUUAACUGUAGAACUGCACUUGAAACUACCAACCUAGAGUAUGGGAGGGGGAGAUGGAAUUAGUGGUGUAGGGGUAAAAUCCGUAGAUAUCACUAGGAAGACCGAAAGCGAAGGCGAUCUCCUGGAACAUAACUGACGCUAAGGCGUGAAAGCGUGGGGAGCAAACAGGAUUAGAAACCCCGGUAGUCC